This 216-nucleotide ribosomal RNA is filed under the name uncultured bacterium. RNAcentral's name for it is "partial 16S ribosomal RNA". It matches the Rfam family "Bacterial small subunit ribosomal RNA", at positions 118 to 351 of the family's 1533-position model. The record is from RNAcentral.
UGGGAAUCUACCCAGAGGUUCGGAAUAACCGCGGGAAACUGCGGCUAAUACCGGAUGUCCCCUAAGGGGGAAAGAUUUAUCGCCUUUGGACGAGCCCGCGUCCGAUUAGCUAGUUGGUGAGGUAACGGCUCACCAAGGCUACUAUCGGUUGCUGGUCUGAGAGGACGACCAGCCACACUGGAACUGAGACACGGUCCAGACUCCUACGGGAGGCAG